ACAUAACCCUGUGUCCAUCUUCUACCUGGUUAGGUUUCCGCCCUUCUUUCGUCUUCUUCCUCAAAAUUCAUUUCAUUUCAACUUUUAACCUCUUCUUCUCCCCCUUCUUCGUCGUAGUGGUGUGUUUGUGAAGUUGAUUCGGCGUGGAAAUGAUGGGAAUAGUAAAAGGUUUGAGCAGGAAGAAAGCGUGUUGGUUUGGUUUGGCGGUGACAGUGUUUGGAGUUAGGGCAAAGUGAAGAAGGCCCCUGUCCCUUGCUGAGUUAUUGCAUGGCGACGCUCGCAACUUCUUCCAUAUCAAUGAUGAUCUCAGGGGUUGUAUGAAAAGGCGUGGGUUGCAUUCUAGUAUGGAAUCGCGACUUAGACUUCUCCCCUCACAUUGUUCCCUCCCUUCAACAUAGUCACUGUUCCGCCACCAACGCGCUUCCUGCGUUGAUUACAAACUCCUCUCUGAUCCACGCCAACAAACAUUUCUGCUUUAUUUCAUCAAUUUGUAAAUCGUCGAUAUUCAUUAUUCACUAACCUAAUUUUCUCCACAUUAUUCCUGUUUUUUUGGUCAUUUCUGCAACUUUUUCAUUUUACAUAAAUACUGAUCCACAUUUUUUGUUAUAUUGUCAGAACUUGACGUUGGUGGUGAUUCGCAUAUUUGAUCUGUAACAGUAGCGAACGCUCAGGUAAGAAAAUCGUAAGUUUCAAUUGCUAUAGACUUUUUCCUUGAUUCGAUUCCGAAGAGAAGAUUCGUUUCUUCCUCGUAUGAAUCUGUCCGCUAUUGAUAUUAUAAUUUCUCUUUGUCUAAUAAGUCUUUUAAUAGAAAAUCAAAUGGUGAUAAUUUCCUCAAGUUCUUUCAGCUUGCCUAAUUGGGUUUAUUUUAUGUGAAUCUGUAUGAAAAACACAUUUUUAAUUAGCUUGUUAGUUUCAUUAUUUAUGCAUUAUGAACAAAAAGUUCAAACUCCACCGAUAAUCCUGCCUGACAAUUUUCAAAUUUACGGACUCUUUCGGUGGACACAACAUUUAAAUAAGAUUUUAUUUUUUUACUUAACUACCUUUUAUGCUUAAAUUUGUGAUUUAAUUUAAACAUUUUCAAAAAUAAUUCAGUUUAAUCUAAUUUUUUUAGUCAAAAUUUAAAAAUACAUUCAAUGAAAAAAAUGAUCAAUACAUAUAUAGUGUAGGGAAGCAGGGCUCGUAUAUAAUUCCGCUUCUCGAGAUUCUAACUAUUUUGGACAAAAAAAAAAUACUUGCAUGUUCUUCUCAAAGUGUAAUAAGAUCAAAUAAACAAAAUAUCUUAAUAAACCCCUAUCCAACAUCUAUCGUAUCAAAUUUUUAUUUUAAAAUAUAAAAUAAUUUUAAAACAUCAACUACAAAAUUAAAAAUAUUGUUUUAUAUUGUGGUAUAGGGGUAGAAAAGUUGUGUGUUAAAAUUUUCCUAAAAGGAGGGCAAAACGUUUCAAGAAUCUAAAUGGUGUUUACCUAUCAUCACAGUAAAAUCCCUUCACACAAUAUGGUGAAGUAUGGUUAUUAAAUAAAUGUACUUUUGCAACACGGGAUCAUGGUUUGAUCUAUAUAGACUUGUAUUAGUAACAGUGUAUUUAGAGAUAAAAAAAAUGAAAAACAAUUUCGUAGAUAAAUUUAUUCUUAAUAAAACUUUUAAAUUAAUUUCAACGAUAAUGGCUUCACAAAGUUGUGCUAGACUAUUUUAAUUAGGAUUAUCAAAUACAUAAAAUAUCAAUAAUGCAUGAGUGUGAUCUAUAUACGUAAAGUUAACCAAAAUGAUAUAGGCAUUAAUCAUGUGUAAUCCAAAACAAAAUCAAAUAUUAGCUUGAUUAAAACAUGUUGCAGAAAAAUAAGAAUUUUGGUUUCUCAUUGUUCUAAACCGAAUUUUGGUUUUCAUGUUGCAGAAAAGAAACUUCAUAGGUACUUUAUACUCAACUCCAAGGUUACCUACCAAUCAUAAUUUCUAUCAAUAAUAGUUCACAUAGCCUCUAGGUCAUCAAAUAUGAUUUUUAUUCAUGGCAUGUGUAAUCCAAAACAAAAUCAAACAUUGUAACCUAUGCAUAAAAAUAAGAAUGAGAAUACACAGAGACUAGAAAAUAGAGAAAGAUUAAACAAGAAUGACGUAAACCCCUUGUCUUAAUGAGAUGGCUGAUUUAGGAUAUGUAGGGUUAGAAUUAGGGAAUUUGAAAAAUUAGUCAGAUAGGAGUUGAUGUAACAACUUUUCCAUUCCAAUCAAUGGAGCACCUUUCUUGCCAACACUCACUCACCUUUAUAUGUAAC
Molecule: long non-coding RNA, 2267 nt
Filed under: Vigna radiata
Lineage: Eukaryota; Viridiplantae; Streptophyta; Magnoliopsida; Fabales; Fabaceae
Description: long non-coding RNA (VRAD_LNC015446)
Source: RNAcentral